UGGAUAUGCCUAAGAUCAUGUUUGGAGCU
RNAcentral lists this non-coding RNA (29 nucleotides) under Mus musculus (house mouse). The record is from RNAcentral. Lineage: Eukaryota; Metazoa; Chordata; Mammalia; Rodentia; Muridae.